Molecule: ribosomal RNA, 253 nt
Filed under: uncultured bacterium
Lineage: Bacteria
Description: partial 16S ribosomal RNA
Rfam family: Bacterial small subunit ribosomal RNA
Source: RNAcentral
UACGUAGGGUGCGAGCGUUAAUCGGAAUUACUGGGCGUAAAGCGUGCGCAGGCGGUUUUAUAAGACAGGUGUGAAAUCCCCGGGCUCAACCUGGGAAUUGCAUUUGUGACUGUAAGACUAGAGUUCGGUAGAGGGGGAUGGAAUUCCGCGUGUAGCGGUGAAAUGCGUAGAUAUGCGGAGGAACACCGGUGGCGAAGGCAAUCCCCUGGACCUGUACUGACGCUGAUGCGCGAAAGCGUGGGGAGCAAACAGG